Molecule: long non-coding RNA, 3371 nt
Filed under: Hordeum vulgare
Lineage: Eukaryota; Viridiplantae; Streptophyta; Magnoliopsida; Poales; Poaceae
Description: long non-coding RNA (HVUL_LNC016153)
Source: RNAcentral
UUUAUGUAUGUGUGCACGUAUCAAGUCUGUUCCAUAGGAUCAGGCAUCCUGGGACCAGGGUGUUACCCAUCUAUUUAAAUUUAAAAGUUUGUUGAGACUUUGGAUCGGAUAACCCUGGAGAUCCUGGAAAAUCUAUUGAGGAGCUAAUAUUACAAUUAGUAGGUUUGGCCCAGCGGACUAUACUUAUCCUGUCCUUUUCUCUCGUGUAUUAGGCACGGUUUGUUAUUUGUUUUCUCAACCUUCCUCAAGAGGAGAUGUACUCCAGUCAAGAAUUUGUGUCUUUGACAGACUUUUUGUUGUUCACAUCACUUAGUUCCUGAAUACGUAUGCUGUCAGGUAAUCGAUUGUUUAUCUUCUUUCCGUCCUGUAUCUCUUGGAGUGAUGAUUUUUUGAUCUGAUAUCUCCCUUUGUUUUGACAAACUCGGAAAAGCAGAGAUCGGAGCGUCUUAUCCUUUCCUGGUGAGUUUCGCAUUUUUAACGAGCAUCCAUAUGUGUAUCGCAUCCUGCUUUUAUAUUUUAACUUGAUUUCGUUUGCCCCUUUCAUAUAUUUUGCCCAGGGAGGCUCGAUCAAGAUCUGGAGAAUUAGGUCGAUCUUUGCUUAGUAAAUGCAUCUGCUUUUUGUGAAGGUGUAAUUUCUCGACCGGUCUUCUCGCCUGAACGCACUUUCCUCAGUUUAGAUUUUUUUUGUUUUAUGGUUGAUGUGCUGGCAAGCCUCUAUACGAGCUUGGUCCGUCGUACAACCUGUUAGGCAAACAAUAAACCUGAGCGCGCUAUAAUAGCUUAUGCUUGGAUUUGUUUCAUUUUCACUCAAGUAUUUACGCUCUCCUUUUUUUUACAGGGAGAGUGGUGACUGAUCGGCUGAGGAUAGCUGUUCUAGGUAAUAUACAGUGAUUUUCUUGUUGACCUUAAGCCAAGAUGUCAUUGUAUUUAUUAUAUUUUUUCUUUUUAUAUAGAUGGUGCAUGAUCAAGUGCCUGCUCCAUCAUAUGAAUUAUCCGUUUGUCAGUUAGCUGAUCGAGAUUUGUAUGAGCCUGAUACUAGUAAAAAAGUUAACCCAGUAAUCAAGGAAUCGGUGGAGACGCAUGCAGAUUUAACGGGUCAUCCUCGUGGUUGGAACACGAGGACUACUUCUAAUGAUUAUUCUUUCUACCCAUCCAUAAAACCAUUUCCGGAUCCUGAUCAUAAAGCCUACACCCUAGGGACUAGGAUGGUAGAAAAGGGUCUCGGUUGGGAUGGUCAUACCGUGGAAUAUGUCCCUUGUAUCGAAGGCAAUGUAGAGUGGGGAGUUACCAUUCUGAAUAAUCAUUCAUUUUGCUUAAGAGGAGAAGAGGAAAACACUGAUUACAUAUUCGGGGCUAUUUAUUGCUCCCUAGGUAAAUACAAAGUAUCUGAUAUGUUGUUAAGAUCAUUACUGGAAAGAUGGAAUCCAGAUACAAACACUUUCCUUUUCGCUGCUGGUGAGCGCACCGUGACCCUGCUGGACAUGCUUCUAAUGUCGGGCCUUCCUUCAAUUGGAGAUCCAUAUGCAGAGUAUCUUCCUUCCGUAGAUGAUCUAGAAAUCUCCAAGCUUAUGUUCCAAACUUCUUUUCUAGUCUCCUCGGAGAAUUCUAUCAGCUCGAACGUGAACAUGGAAGUGUAACUUUCCAAGUUUGGUGUGAUCAUUUCUACAACAAACGAGAACGCACUUCGUCUUUCACCUCUCGCCGAGAACAACAAAUAUACGUUGCAGCUUUUAUUGCCCUUUGGCUGUGCUGUUACGUGGUUGUCGGUAAGGGAGCUUAUAUCCGCCCUGGUGUUCUUAUUGGCCUCUUGGAUCGUUUUCGGUUGCAAGAUUUCUUUAGCUCCAUCGGCACUUUGUUCAUUGUAUUAUUCUCUUCGGAGGAUUAGUACCCAUCCUGUAGGCCCUGCGUAUGAAAAGAGAAUUUGGUCGGUACAUUUUAUUGCGGGGUGGAUGGGUCUUUAUCUGAGAAGACUAUUCAAGGACAGAGCCAAAGGGACAUGUCUUCCCAAUGUUAGAGGCUUCAAAAUUCGUCCGACCAUGGUUAAUACUAUGUUUCGGGAGCCCAAAGUCUUUAGUCCUGCUGGGGCGCGAAAAUUCCAUGAAGUUAGAGUUAGUAGCUUUUGGAAUCCUUAUCAUCCAUCCAAUUUAGUUGGGGUAGCUCAGCUUCAAAGGUCAUUUGCCAUUUCCUCUCAUCGUGGUAUGCUUCCGUGGAGAUGUGCUACCGAGCUUGAUGAUCUCUGUAUAGCAGAGCCGUACCAUCCCGAUCGAGUCGCCCAUCAAUUCACUUUAAGGCAACUGUUGCCCUAUCCUCCCUUAAUAAGCUUGUGCACAAAGGAAGAUAUUGGAGUUGCAUAUGCGUAUUGGUUACAUCUGCUACAGACAGACCAAGGGGAGUUCAAGUCUAUGCUCAAUGGGGAGCGUAAGGAGGAUCUUUCAUCUGUACACUGGAACCAUUGGUGUGUCGGAUUUAUAAAGCCCUUUAAUGAUAUAUUUGAUACUCUCUCUCCGGGUAUCUCGAAGGGUCAGAAUUAUAAUUCAUGGAAGCGUGCUUUUCUGGCAUGCGGGGAAAAGUUUAUGAUUCCUCGCAAGAUCUCAGGAAAGGACCUCAUUGUCAUAAAGGAAGUAUCAGAAAGCGGCAAGGAAGAGCAUAUUGCAGCCCUCAUAGCAAAAGGAAAAAGAGUAAUGGAUCAUUGGACUCUAAUUCUUUCGGAUUUUCUCUCCAAUGAUGAACCUGUCAGGAUUUCUAACAAGGUAGGUUAUAUAUAAUUUUCUAUCAUGGUUUAGUUGUGCUUGUUUCCCUCUUUUUUUUUAACAUAUAUACUGUUUUGUCGUAGAAGCGAAAGCUAAAAGCUGCUGCAGAAUGCUCUUCUUCUGUUGACAAGACUCCGAUUAGUGGGACAGAAGGAACUCAUAUGACUGAAAAUAGCUCUCUGGAGGAGGAGUCGACGCCUGCUACCAAAAGAAAGCUUGAUGCUAUGGAUACUGAGAGUGAUUAUAGUCCUAUAGAACUGGACGUACCUCUCCAUGAGGAUAACAUUAGUGGUGUAGAUUUAGAUGGGGUACUGUGUGGAGACAUAGAUCAUGGUUUAGGUGAUCUGGAUGAUUUAAACAUAGAUGAUUAUGUUGGGACAGAAUCAUUGGAAGCUUUGCCCAGGCUUGAGCACAAACACGUCUCCUGUAGACGACUAUUCCACUAUUUCACCUGCUUUCGCACAUGCUAGUUUUACUUUAUUAAUUGUAUUACGCCAUAUACUUUAUCCUUAUUGAUUUACUCAUUUAUCUCUUGACCAUUUGUAGGUACCGAAGACGUCCCUGUUGUUGACAAGGAGCUAUUAGUCGAAACUGCAGUGCCAACCAUGGACGUUAUCACGN